RNAcentral lists this ribosomal RNA (508 nucleotides) under uncultured bacterium. Its description in RNAcentral is "bacterial SSU rRNA". It matches the Rfam family "Bacterial small subunit ribosomal RNA", at positions 10 to 507 of the family's 1533-position model. The record is from RNAcentral.
AGUUUGAUCCUGGCUCAGAGUGAACGCUGGCGGCAGGCCUAAUACAUGCAAGUCGAACGGCAGCACAGCAGAGCUUGCUCUGUGGGUGGCGAGUGGCGGACGGGUGAGGAAUACAUGGGAAUCUGCCCAGUCGUGGGGGAUAACGUAGGGAAACUUACGCUAAUACCGCAUGCGCCCUUCGGGGGAAAGCCGGGGACCUUCGGGCCUGGCGCGAUUGGAUGAGCCCAUGUCGGAUUAGCUAGUUGGCGGGGUAAUGGCCCACCAAGGCGACGAUCCGUAGCUGGUCUGAGAGGAUGAUCAGCCACACUGGAACUGAGACACGGUCCAGACUCCUACGGGAGGCAGCAGUAGGGAAUAUUGGACAAUGGGCGCAAGCCUGAUCCAGCCAUGCCGCGUGAGUGAAGAAGGCCCUCGGGUUGUAAAGCUCUCUUGUCCGGAAAGAAAAGCGCCGGGUUAAUACCCUGGUGUCCUGACGGUACCGGAAGAAUAAGCACCGGCUAACUUCGUG